AUUGAACGCUGGCGGCAGGCCUAACACAUGCAAGUCGAGCGAGCGGCGGACGGGUGAGUAAUGUAUGGGGACUGCCCGAUAGAGGGGGAUAACUACUGGAAACGGUGGCUAAUACCGCAUACUAUCGGAUAACCCAUAUGGGAUUAGCUAGUAGGUGGGGUAAAGGCUCACCUAGGCGACGAGCCCUAGCUGGUCUGAGAGGAUGAUCGGCCACACUGGGACUGAGACACGGCCCAGACUCCUACGGAGGCAGCAGUGGGGAAUAUUGCGCAAUGGACGAAAGCCUGAUCCAGCCAUGCCGCGUGUAUGAAGAAGGCCUUAGGGUUGUAAAAUUCUUUCAGCGGAGAGGCGUUACCCAACGAGAAAGCACCGGCUAACUACGUGCCAGCAGCCGCGGUAAUUC
This 403-nucleotide ribosomal RNA is filed under the name uncultured bacterium. Its description in RNAcentral is "partial 16S ribosomal RNA". It matches the Rfam family "Bacterial small subunit ribosomal RNA", at positions 30 to 526 of the family's 1533-position model. The record is from RNAcentral.